AGCAUAUCAAUAAGCGGAGGAAAAGAAACUAACAAGGAUUCCCGUAGUAACUGCGAGUGAAGUGGGAAGAGCUCAAAUUUGAAAUCUGGCGGUUCUGGCCGUCCGAGUUGUAAUCUAGAGAAGUGUUACCUGCGCUGGACCGUGUACAAGUCUCCUGGAACGGAGCGUCAUAGAGGGUGAGAAUCCCGUCUCUGACACGGACUACCAGGGCUUUGUGGUAUGCUCUCAAAGAGUCGAGUUGUUUGGGAAUGCAGCUCAAAAUGGGUGGUAAACUCCAUCUAAAGCUAAAUACUGGCGAGAGACCGAUAGUGAACAAGUACCGUGAGGGAAAGAUGAAAAGAACUUUGGAAAGAGAGUUAAACAGUACGUGAAAUUGCUGAAAGGGAAACGCUUGAAGUCAGUCGCGUUGGCUGGGGAUCAGCCUCACUUGUUUGUGUGGUGUAUUUCCUGGUUGACGGGUCAGCAUCAAUUCUGACCAUUGGAGAAAGGCUUGGGGAAUGUAGCAGCCUCGGCUGUGUUAUAGCCUCUUGUCAGAUACAGUGGUUGGGAUUGAGGUGUGCAGCACGCCGCGAGGCCGGGGUGAAUAGCCCACGUUCGUGCUUAGGAUGUUGACAUAAUGGCUUUAAGCGACCCGUCUUGAAACACGGACCAAGGAGUCUAACAUGCCUGCGAGUGUUUGGGUGGAAAACCCGUGCGCGCAAUGAAAGUAAAAGUUGAGAUCCCUGUCGUGGGGAGCAUCGACGCCCGGACCUGAACUUUUGGGAUGGAUCUGCGGUAGAGCAUGUAUGUUGGGACCCGAAAGAUGGUGAACUAUGCCUGAAUAGGGCGAAGCCAGAGGAAACUCUGGUGGAGGCUCGUAGCGAUUCUGACGUGCAAAUCGAUCGUCAAAUUUGGGUAUAGGGGCGAAAGACUAAUCGAACCAUCUAGUAGCUGGUUCCUGCC
This 942-nucleotide ribosomal RNA is filed under the name Leucocoprinus gongylophorus. Its description in RNAcentral is "LSU rRNA". It matches the Rfam family "Eukaryotic large subunit ribosomal RNA", at positions 37 to 962 of the family's 3401-position model. Lineage: Eukaryota; Fungi; Basidiomycota; Agaricomycetes; Agaricales; Agaricaceae. The record is from RNAcentral. RNAcentral also lists the same sequence under 1 other name.